AUGCCUAACACAUGCAAGUCGAACGAGAUCUUCGGAUCUAGUGGCGCACGGGUGAGUAACGCGUGGGAACCUACCUUUUAGUACGGGACAACGUUUGGAAACGAACGCUAAUACCGUAUACGCCCUCCGGGGGAAAGGUCAGCCGCUAAAAGAGGGGCCCGCGUCUGAUUAGCUUGUUGGUAAGGUAAUGGCUUACCAAGGCGACGAUCAGUAGCUGGUCUGAGAGGAUGAUCAGCCACACUGGGACUGAGACACGGCCCAGACUCCUACGGGAGGCAGCAGUGGGGAAUAUUGGACAAUGGAGGCAACUCUGAUCCAGCAAUGCCGCGUGUGUGAUGAAGGCCCUAGGGUUGUAAAGCACUUUCAACGGUGAAGAUGAUGACGGUAGCCGUAGAAGAAGCCCCGGCUAACUUCGUGCCAGCAGCCGCGGUAAUACGAAGGGGGCGAGCGUUAUUCGGAAUUAUUGGGCGUAAAGGGCUCGCAGGCUGCUUGAACAGUUAGACGUGAAAUCCCCGGGCUUAACCUGGGAACUGCGUUUAAUACUAGCAAGCUAGAGAAAUAGAGAGGAAAGUGGAACUCCCAGUGUAGAGGUGAAAUUCGUAGAUAUUGGGAAGAACACCAGUGGCGAAAGCGACUUUCUGGCUAUUU
RNAcentral lists this ribosomal RNA (648 nucleotides) under uncultured Alphaproteobacteria bacterium. RNAcentral's name for it is "bacterial SSU rRNA". It matches the Rfam family "Bacterial small subunit ribosomal RNA", at positions 44 to 738 of the family's 1533-position model. Lineage: Bacteria; Pseudomonadati; Pseudomonadota; Alphaproteobacteria. The record is from RNAcentral.